UUGCUUUUACAAGGCGAAACCGCGAAUGGCUCAUUAAAUCAGUUAUGGUUCACUAGAUCGUACAGUUUACAUGGAUAACUGUGGUAAUUCUAGAGCUAAUACAUGCACCCAGUCCGUUCCCUCGUGGAGCGGAUGCAGUUAUUUGCCCAAAACCAAUCCGGCCUUCGGGUCGGUCAAUUGGUGACUCUGAAUAACCGAAGCGGAGCGCAUGGUCUCGUACCGGCGCCAGAUCUUUCAAGUGUCUGACUUAUCAGCUUGUUGUUAGGUUAUGUUCCUAACAAGGCAUCAACGGGUAACGGAGUGUCAGGGCCCGACACCGGAGAGGGAGCCUGAGAAACGGCUACCACAUCCAAGGAAGGCAGCAGGCGCGCAAAUUACCCACUCCCGGCACGGGGAGGUAGUGACGAAAAAUAACGAUGCGAGAGCUUUAUGCUCCUCGUAAUCGGAAUGGGUACACUUUAAAUCCUUUAACGAGGAUCUAUUGGAGGGCAAGUCUGGUGCCAGCAGCCGCGGUAAUUCCAGCUCCAAUAGCGUAUAUUAAAGUUGCUGCGGUUAAAAAGCUCGUAGUUGGAUCUGGGUAGUCGAUGGACGGUGCGCUUUACGGCGUCUACUGUUCGUUCGGCACCACAUGCCGGCCAUGUCUUGCAUGCUCUUCACUGAGUGUGCUUGGCGACCGGAACGUUUACUUUGAAAAAAUUAGAGUGCUCAAAGCAGGCGUUAAGCCUUGCAUAAUGGUGCAUGGAAUAAUAGAAUAGGACCUCGGUUCUAUUUUGUUGGUUUUCGGAGCUCGAGGUAAUGAUUAAUAGGAACAGACGGGGGCAUUCGUAUUGCGGCGUUAGAGGUGAAAUUCUUGGAUCGUC
Molecule: ribosomal RNA, 860 nt
Filed under: Acutuncus antarcticus
Lineage: Eukaryota; Metazoa; Tardigrada; Eutardigrada; Parachela; Hypsibiidae
Description: SSU rRNA
Rfam family: Eukaryotic small subunit ribosomal RNA
Source: RNAcentral